AGUGAACGCUGGCGGCGUGCCUAAUACAUGCAAGUCGAACGGAGUGGCGCACGGGUGAGUAAGGUAUAGCUAAUCUGCCCGACACUAGAGGACAACAGUUGGAAACGGCUGAUAAUACACUAUAGUGUAGGUGGAGGUUAUAUUGUAUCAGCUAGUUGGUGAGGAAAUGGAUCACCAAGGAUAUGACGCAUAACUGGUCUGAGAGGAUGAUCAGUCACACUGGAACGGAGACACGGUCCAGACUCCUACGGGAUGCAGCAGUAGGGAAUAUUGCUCAAUGGGGGAAACCCUGAAGCAGCAACGCCGCGUGGAGGAUGAUACUUUUCGGAGCGUAAACUCCUUUUGUUAGGGAAGCGGUACCUAACGAAUAAGCACCGGCUAACUCCGUGCCAGCAGCCGCGGUAAUAC
RNAcentral lists this ribosomal RNA (408 nucleotides) under uncultured bacterium. RNAcentral describes it as "partial 16S ribosomal RNA". It matches the Rfam family "Bacterial small subunit ribosomal RNA", at positions 29 to 526 of the family's 1533-position model. The record is from RNAcentral.